Molecule: ribosomal RNA, 876 nt
Filed under: uncultured Chloroflexota bacterium
Lineage: Bacteria; Bacillati; Chloroflexota
Description: bacterial SSU rRNA
Rfam family: Bacterial small subunit ribosomal RNA
Source: RNAcentral
GAUGAACGUUGGCGGCGUGCCUAACACAUGCAAGUCGAACGGGAAGGGGAACUUCGGUUCUCUGGAGAGUGGCGCACGGGUGAGUAACACGUAGCUUAUCUGCCCUCAAGAGCGGGAUAACGCACCGAAAGGUGUGCUAAUACCGCAUAAGCUCCCGGGCUAUAGAGGCCUGAGAGAAAAGGCUCCGGCGCUUGAGGAUGAGGCUGCGGCCCAUCAGCUAGUUGGUGUGGUAAAAGCACACCAAGGCGACGACGGGUAGGGGACCUGAGAGGGUGACCCCCCACACUGGGACUGAGACACGGCCCAGACUCCUACGGGAGGCAGCAGUGAGGAAUAUUGCCCAAUGGACGCAAGUCUGAGGCAGCAACGCCGCGUGGGUGAUGAAGGCCUUCGGGUCGUAAAGCCCUUUUCUGGGUGACGAGAAAGGACGGUAACCCAGGAAUAAGUGUCGGCUAACUACGUGCCAGCAGCCGCGGUAAAACGUAGGACGCAAACGUUAUCCGGAAUUACUGGGCGUAAAGCGCGCGCAGGCGGGUCAGCAAGUCACUCGUGAAAGCUCCCGGCUAAACUGGGAGAGGUCGGGUGAGACUGUUGAUCUGGAGGGUGGUAGAGGCGUGUGGAAUUCCGCGUGUAGUGGUGAAAUGCGUAGAGAUGCGGAGGAACACCAGUGGCGAAGGCGGCACGCUGGGCCACACCUGACGCUGAGGCGCGAAAGCAUGGGUAGCGAACGGGAUUAGAAACCCCGGUAGUCCAUGCCGUANACGAUGUGUAUUAGAUGUUCGUAUACCUGCGGGUAUGUGAGUGUCGCAGCUAACGCGAUAAAUACACCGCCUGGGGAGUACGGUCGCAAGGCUAAAACUCAAGGGAAUUGACGGG